GACGGACGCUGGCGGCGUGCCUAAUACAUGCAAGUCGAGCGAGUCUGCCUUGAAGAUCGGAGUGCUUGCACUCUGUGAAACAAGAUACAGGCUAGCGGCGGACGGGUGAGUAACACGUGGGUAACCUGCCCAAGAGAUCGGGAUAACACCUGGAAACAGAUGCUAAUACCGGAUAAUAACAGAUGAUGCCUAUCAACUGUUUAAAAGAUGGUUCUGCUAUCACUCUUGGAUGGACCUGCGGUGCAUUAGCUAGUUGGUAGGGUAACGGCCUACCAAGGCGAUGAUGCAUAGCCGAGUUGAGAGACUGAUCGGCCACAUUGGGACUGAGACACGGCCCAAACUCCUACGGGAGGCAGCAGUAGGGAAUCUUCCACAAUGGACGCAAGUCUGAUGGAGCAACGCCGCGUGAGUGAAGAAGGGUUUCGGCUCGUAAAGCUCUGUUGUUGGUGAAGAGGGACAGGGGUAGUAACUGACCUUUGUUUGACGGUAAUCAAUUAGAAAGUCACGGCUAACUACGUGCCAGCAGCCGCGGUAA
Molecule: ribosomal RNA, 535 nt
Filed under: uncultured Lactobacillaceae bacterium
Lineage: Bacteria; Bacillati; Bacillota; Bacilli; Lactobacillales; Lactobacillaceae
Description: bacterial SSU rRNA
Rfam family: Bacterial small subunit ribosomal RNA
Source: RNAcentral